UACGGAGGGUGCAAGCGUUGUCCGGAUUUAUUGGGUUUAAAGGGUGCGUAGGCGGUCUUUUAAGUCAGUGGUGAAAGCCUCCAGCUUAACUGGAGAACAGCCAUUGAUACUGGAAGACUUGAGUACAGACGAGGUAGGCGGAAUUGACAGUGUAGCGGUGAAAUGCAUAGAUAUUGUCAAGAACACCGAUUGCGAAGGCAGCUUACUAGACUGUAACUGACACUGAGGCACGAAAGCGUGGGGAUCAAACAGG
RNAcentral lists this ribosomal RNA (253 nucleotides) under uncultured bacterium. Its description in RNAcentral is "partial 16S ribosomal RNA". It matches the Rfam family "Bacterial small subunit ribosomal RNA", at positions 524 to 776 of the family's 1533-position model. The record is from RNAcentral.